RNAcentral lists this long non-coding RNA (338 nucleotides) under Elaeis guineensis (African oil palm). RNAcentral describes it as "long non-coding RNA (EGUI_LNC043137)". The record is from RNAcentral. Lineage: Eukaryota; Viridiplantae; Streptophyta; Magnoliopsida; Arecales; Arecaceae.
GAUGAGGUUCGAAGAUGAGAUGCCUUAUACUUGUAUUUUUCUUUUUUUUUAUUUCUGUAAAAAAGUUUUCAUCAAUGAAAUGAAAUUUUACUCCUUUCUAAAUUCAUGCUGUUCUUCACAUGUUUGUUCAGUUAUGCCAGCAUGUCCUUGGUGGCUAUAUCCCUUUAGUUCCUAUUGACGAGCCUUUACCUACAGCUUCUACUGUAUGGAUUAGGUCCCGCAUAUGUAAACUAAAAAAGAAGGUCAAGGAGUUAAAUAGAAAGGCUACCGUCUGGAAGAAGGGGCUGUUGAAGACCAAGAAGGUACUUGAAGAGGCUUCAAUGGAAAUCACAUGGUUG